AGUGGAUGGGGAACAACCUAGUUGUGCGUGUGUAAAGGUAGUGCCAAGAAAAGCGGUGAUCAUGAUGAAAAUCAAUUCCCGGUACCCGAAACCAACACAGGUGGGCAAGUAGAGAAUACUAAGGGGCGCGAGGUAACUCUCUCCAAGGAACUCGGCAAAAUGACCCCGUAACUUAGGGAGAAGGGGUGCCACCGAGAGGUGGUCGCAGUGAAGUGGCCCAGGCGACUGUUUAGCAAAAACAUAGGUCUCUGCAAACUCGAAAGAGGAGGUAUAGGGGCUGACGCCUGCCCAGUGCCGGAAGGUUAAAGAAGUUGGUCAGUCUUAGGAUGAAGCUAGCGACUGAAGCCCCGGUGAACGGCGGCCGUAACUAUAACGGUCCUAAGGUAGCGAAAUUCCUUGUCGGGUAAGUUCCGACCCGCACGAAAGGCGUAACGAUCUGGGCGCUGUCUCGGAGAGAGGCUCGGCGAAAUAGGAUUGUCUGUGAAGAUACGGACUACCUGCAUUUGGACAGAAAGACCCUAUGAAGCUUUACUAUAGCUUGGAAUUGUGUUUGGGCUUCCUGUGCGCAGGAUAGGUGGGAGGCGUAGAAGGUAUUCUUGUGGGGAUACUGGAGCCAACGGUGAGAUACCACUCUCAGGAGGCUAGAAUUCUAACUUAAUUAAGGACAGUUUCAGGUGGGUAGUUUGACUGGGGCGGUCGCCUCCAAAAAGGUAACGGAGGCGUACAAAGGUUCCCUCAGACUGGUUGGAAAUCAGUCGAAGAGUGCAAAGGCAGAAGGGAGCUUGACUGCGAGAAGUACAGUUCGAGCAGGGUGGAAACACGGUCUUAGUGAUCCGACGGUGCUGUGUGGAAGGGCCGUCGCUCAACGGAUAAAAGUUACUCUAGGAUAACAGGCUGAUCUCCCCCAAGAGUUCACAUCGACGGAGGUUUGGCACCUCGAUGUCGGCUCAUCGCAACCUGGGGCGGAAGUACGUCCCAAGGGUUGGGCUGUUCGCCCAUUAAAGCGGUACGUGAGCUGGGUUCAGAACGUCGUGAGACAGUUCGGUCCAUAUCCGAUGUAGGCGUGAGAAUAUUGAGAGGAGCCUUCCUUAGUACGAGAGGACCGGGAAGGACGCACCGCUGGUGUACCUGUUAUGAUGCCAAUUGUAAACGCAGGGUAGCCAAGUGCGGAGAGGAUAACCGCUGAAAGCAUCUAAGUGGGAAGCCCACCUCAAGAUGAGUAUUCUGGUGUAAGGUCACGGGAAGACGACCCGUAAAUAGGCACGAGGUGGAAGUGCAGAGAUGUAUGAAGCCGAAGUGUACUAAUAGACCGUCGGCUUGA
Molecule: ribosomal RNA, 1321 nt
Filed under: metagenome
Description: bacterial LSU rRNA
Rfam family: Bacterial large subunit ribosomal RNA
Source: RNAcentral